RNAcentral lists this ribosomal RNA (468 nucleotides) under uncultured bacterium. Its description in RNAcentral is "partial 16S ribosomal RNA". It matches the Rfam family "Bacterial small subunit ribosomal RNA", at positions 28 to 507 of the family's 1533-position model. The record is from RNAcentral.
GACGAACGCUGGCGGCGUGCUUAAUACAUGCAAGUCGAACGGAAAGGCCCUGCUUUUGUUGGGUGCUCGUGUGGCGCACGGGUGAGUAACACGUGAGUAACCUGCCCUUGACUUUGGGAUAACUUCAGGAAACUGGGGCUAAUACCGCAUAGGAUCUCCUGCUGCAUGGUGUGGGUUGGAAAGUUUCGGCGGUUGGGGAUGGACUCGCGGCUUAUCCGCUUGUUUGUGUGGUAGUGGCUUACCAAGGCUUUGACGGGUAGCCGGCCUGAGAGGGUGACCGGCCACAUGGGGACUGAGAGACGGCCCAGACUCCAACGGGAGGCAGCAGUGGGGAAUAUUGCACAAUGGGCGGAAGUCUGAGGCAGCAACGUCGCGUGCGGGAUGACGGCCUUCGGGUGAUAAACCGCUUUCGCCGGUGACGAAGCGUGAGUGACGGUAAUGGGUAAAGAAGCACCGGCUAACUACGUG